GACGAACGCUGGCGGCGUGCUUAACACAUGCAAGUCGAACGGAAAGGCCCUGCUUUUGUGGGGUGCUCGAGUGGCGAACGGGGGAGUAACACGUGAGUAACCUGCCCUUGACUUUGGGAUAACUUCAGGAAACUGGGGCUAAUACCGGAUAGGAGCUCCUGCUGCAUGGGGGGGGUUGGAAAGUUUCGGCGGUUGGGGAUGGACUGGCGGCUUAUCAGCUUGUUGGUGGGGUAGUGGCUUACCAAGGCUUUGACGGGUAGCCGGCCUGGGAGGGUGACCGGCCACAUUGGGACUGCGGUACGGCCCAGACUCCUACGGUAGGCAGCAGUGGGGAAUAUUGCACAGUGGGCGGAAGCCUGAUGCAGCAACGCCGCGUGCGUGAUGACGGCCUUCGGGUUGUAAACCGCUUUCGCCUGUGACGAAGCGUGAGUGACGGUAAUGGGUAAAGAAGCACCGGCUAACUACGUG
This 468-nucleotide ribosomal RNA is filed under the name uncultured bacterium. Its description in RNAcentral is "partial 16S ribosomal RNA". It matches the Rfam family "Bacterial small subunit ribosomal RNA", at positions 28 to 507 of the family's 1533-position model. The record is from RNAcentral.